Molecule: ribosomal RNA, 700 nt
Filed under: uncultured bacterium
Lineage: Bacteria
Description: bacterial SSU rRNA
Rfam family: Bacterial small subunit ribosomal RNA
Source: RNAcentral
CGAGUGGCGACGGGUGAGUAAUAUAUCGGAACGUGCCCAUUAGUGGGGGAUAGCCCGGCGAAAGCCGGAUUAAUACCGCAUACGACCUGAGGGUGAAAGCGGGGGAUCGCAAGACCUCGCGCUAUUGGAGCGGCCGAUAUCAGAUUAGCUAGUUGGUGGGGUAAAAGCCUACCAAGGCAACGAUCUGUAGUUGGUCUGAGAGGACGACCAGCCACACUGGGACUGAGACACGGCCCAGACUCCUACGGGAGGCAGCAGUGGGGAAUUUUGGACAAUGGGCGCAAGCCUGAUCCAGCAAUGCCGCGUGCAGGAAGAAGGCCUUCGGGUUGUAAACUGCUUUUGUCAGGGGAGAAAUCCUUUGGGUUAAUACCUCGAAGGGAUGACGGUACCUGAAGAAUAAGCACCGGCUAACUACGUGCCAGCAGCCGCGGUAAUACGUAGGGUGCGAGCGUUAAUCGGAAUUACUGGGCGUAAAGCGUGCGCAGGCGGCUUUGCAAGACAGAGGUGAAAUCCCCGGGCUCAACCUGGGAACUGCCUUUGUGACUGCAAGGCUAGAGUACGGCAGAGGGGGAUGGAAUUCCGCGUGUAGCAGUGAAAUGCGUAGAUAUGCGGAGGAACACCGAUGGCGAAGGCAAUCCCCUGGGCCUGUACUGACGCUCAUGCACGAAAGCGUGGGGAGCAAACAGGAUUAGAUACCCUG